GCGUGGGUGAUGAAGGCCUUCGGGUUGUAAAGCCCUUUUGGCGGGGACGAUGAUGACGGUACCCGCAGAAGAAGCCCCGGCUAACUUCGUGCCAGCAGCCGCGGUAAUACGAAGGGGGCUAGCGUUGUUCGGAAUUACUGGGCGUAAAGGGCGCGUAGGCGGCCUUGAUAGUUGGGCGUGAAAGGCCUGGGCUUAACCCAGGAACUGCGUUCAAUACUGCGAGGCUAGAGUGUGGGAGAGGUUGGUGGAAUUCCCAGUGUAGAGGUGAAAUUCGU
Molecule: ribosomal RNA, 275 nt
Filed under: uncultured bacterium
Lineage: Bacteria
Description: partial 16S ribosomal RNA
Rfam family: Bacterial small subunit ribosomal RNA
Source: RNAcentral